UUGCAAUAUUGUGGACAGCCUGAGUGUAUUUUAUUCAAGAGUGCGCAUGACUGAGUGUAUGCUUUUGUGACCGAGGGGGAGAGAAAGACAGACGAGGGGAGAGUUCUGUUCUUUCACUGCUCCAUCCGGGAAUUUUCGAAUUAGCAUUGACAGCCGAAGCGCAACUUUUCCCCAGGCAAAGUGAAAUCAAGCCGCUCACUCGGACAAAAUAUAGUCCCCACUAUUCAACUAAAAAUGAUCAAAAGAAAAAUAAAUCGACCGUUUGGAGAGGAUGCGUCGACGCGGCGUUAUUUUUAGAGUGGAUCUGUCCAGGUGCUGAAACCUUUCCCCGGUGUUUAGAGCACUUUGCUCAGCGGCGUAAAGUGAGUGAUGAGCCCUCUACACAGCAAAGAAGCAAGAACUUGCUUUGCAGCCUGAGUAGUUCUUCUUUCGAUUGUUAUUGUCGCUUUAAAAAAAAACAUUUUAAUUCACUUAAACUUCACAUUGAUUACAUCGAAAGUGGUACAAAAGUGUUUUUGAAGUCGGAACAUGGAACUACAAUGCCUGCAAGAGGCGUUGAAAGUCGAGAUCCAAUGUCAUCAGGAUGGAGAGCUUAAGAAACAACUACACGAAAGACACGACAGAAUAACAGCCCUAAGCGAAAAACAAGUAAGAAAACCCCCAAAAGCAUCUGUGUUGCUUUAUUAUACACUUAUUGUUGGCUAUAAUCAUCAUUCAUGUCACGGCAAUAGUCUUGUAUUGUGUGAGACCGUUAUGUUUAGGACAAUGUGCUUGUGUGUUUUUUUUUUUAAAAACGGUUUCAAAAAGUAAAGGCAUUUGAUUUAGUCUUUGCUCCCCCUUUAAAGUCGUUGUGUUGUAGAAUUCCUCAACGUAAUCUGCUGAUUCUGUCCGGAUACUCUUUAAGUUGUCUAACAUGAAAUGUUGAAAAAUGUAGCGUCCAUUUUGAGUAAGUCGACAUGUUUUCAGGAGAGUAAGAAAGGAGAUGCUCAAGUAUCCGGUCUGCACUUAUUUUUUAUUUUUUUGUUACACAUCAAGCGUCACGUUUUUACUAUUCUGACUAUUCGUAGAUAUUCAUCGGCGAAUGAAUACGUAUUUUUUUGUUGUUGCUUCUAAAUGGACUUUAUGUGUUACUUUAUAGCCAGUAUUAUUUAUUCUUGGUCACAUGACGGUAAAGGUCGCUUUUGAUUCGAUCGCAGCUUACACUUUCAUUUUUUUAAAUUUUUUUUUUACUACAUCUAGUAUCAAAUUGGCCAAGAUGAACUUCCAUCUUUGUAAUAAGUGAUUUAAACUUAUUUGUAUGUAUUCCUAAUGAGUCAUUUGAAGGGUAAAGAGAAACACUAAAGUCCAGCUCUUCCGCCCAGGAGAACGGGAGCUAUUUUUUCAGCACCACAGAACAGAUGCCGUUGAACGCUUAAAGUCACAACACUGCCUGGCUCAAUAUAUGAAGUUACCGAAGCCACUAAGGAACACAAAACAGACAUAUAAUGUGUAAAUAUAUAUUGUGGAAGUCAAAUCAAUCGACGUUGAAUCAUUUUAGUUCAUUUUAAAGGGUUUUUGCGUUGGCCUAAGUUAGAUCGAUCCUGUUUCUUCAGGAAUGCAGUUUUCAGCACUUGAGCCCUGAACAGCGCCUUGAUUUUCUCCACCAUUCGCUGUUGAACGUUUCCUGUAAAGCAGAAGACGAACUCAUUUAGGCAGCUUAUGCAGAGAAACAAUGCUUAUAUUUUCACGUAGUUGGUUAUCUAUUUACACGAGGUGGAUCUUUCCAGAGUAUGUAUUUGUUGUAGUGUUUUACGCAAAGCGCCUUAGUUUGGUAGUGGAUGCUUCCAUUUUGUGCCGAGAAGGGGUGUUGGUUUCUUCCUAACAUGGAGAAAAAGUCUGCGGAGUUUCUCGGAGAGGGGGGAUGGGCCCCAUUCAUGCCGAACAUUACCAUUUUGAUUGCUUUGAUGCUGUUUAUAGAGGAGGGGGAGGGGAGAGAGAAAAGAGAGAGCCCCGAGUCAGCAGCAGCAACGCAGCCUGGGAUGUUUAAUCACUGUUUAGCGUCGAUUCUCCUUAUUUUAUUAGCGGAAUAUGACCUAUAGUUUACUCUGCUCUAGCGAUGCUUGCUGCUACCAGAGAAAAUCUGCUUUUUACACCGUCAUAGAUUUAGUUGUUGUUGUUGUUGUUGUAGGGCACUGACAUUACAUAUCACCUGAAGAAUAGGCUUUUGUUUACUUUUGUUUAAGUCAAAUUUGAGAUGUUAAAAGAUAGCUUUGUUAGGUCAACAUAUGUGUAAUAAUUUAGCCUAUUCAUUUAGCAUAUGAUUCACUUUCUUUCUCUUAAAUUAAAAGUGUAUUUUGCUUCAGUGGCUUUUGUUAUAUAAAAAUGACAUAAAAUUAAUACUUAACAUAGUGACUUUAUAGUCAUCCAGACGUUAUAAUGCAUAUGCCAAUGUUCUGACGGUGGCUAGUAAAUACUAGUCCCUCUGUUAAACCAAACUACUCUACAAACACGAGGCAGAAAGUAUACAGUAUGCAUCAUAUGUCUAUGAGGAUGUAGGCCUGUGUGUGUUUCUAUCCUAGGUUUUGUUGAGGGACGGUGUGAAUAGAGAGAGGAGCAGGUUGUUGAGGGACGGUGUGAAUACAGAGAGGAGCAGGUUGUUGAGGGACGGUGUGAAUAGAGAGAGGAGCAGGUUGUUGAGGGACGGUGUGAAUAGAGUACUAAUACUAUAUAGGGAAUAGGGCCCUGGUCUAAAGUAGUGCACUAUAUAGUGAAUAGGGCCCCAGUCUAAAGUAGUGCACUAUAUAGGGAAUAGGGCCCCAGUCUAAAGUAGUGCACUAUAUAGGGAAUAGGGCCCCAGUCUAAAGUAGUGCACUAUAUAGGGAAUAGGGCCCCAGUCUAAAGUAGUGCACUAUAUAGGGAAUAGGAUGCCAUUUGGGACUCAGAUUCAGUGUGACCUUCUGUUACCUUCAGGGGAAAACACAGACAGACAGUUCUAUUCCUUAUCCCAGUGUAGUCCUGAGAGACAGACAGCUCUAUUCCUUAUCCCAGUUUAGUCCUGAGAGACAGAGAGCUCUAUUCCUUUUCCCAGUUUAGUCCUGAGAGACAGACAGCUCUAUUCCUUAUCCCAGUUUAGUCCUGAGAGACAGACAGCUCUAUUCCUUAUCCCAGUUUAGUCCUGAGAGACAGACAGCUCUAUUCCUUAUCCCAGUUUAGUCCUGAGAGACAGACAGCUCUAUUCCUUAUCCCAGUUUAGUCCUGAGAGACAGACAGCUCUAUUCCUUAUCCCAGUUUAGUCCUGAGAGACAGACAGCUCUAUUCCUUAUCCCAGUUUAGUCCUGAGAGACAGACAGCUCUAUUCCUUAUCCCAGUUUAGUCCUGAGAGACAGACAGCUCUAUUCCUUAUCCCAGUUUAGUCCUGAGAGACAGACAGCUCUAUUCCUUAUCCCAGUUUAGUCCUGAGAGACAGACAGCUCUAUUCCUUAUCCCAGUUUAGUCCUGAGAGACAGACAGCUCUAUUCCUUAUCCCAGUUUAGUCCUGAGAGACAGACAGCUCUAUUCCUUAUCCCAGUUUAGUCCUGAGAGACAGACAGCUCUAUUCCUUAUCCCAGUUUAGUCCUGAGAGACAGACAGCUCUAUUCCUUAUCCCAGUUUAGUCCUGAGAGACAGACAGCUCUAUUCCUUUUCCCAGUUUAGUCCUGAGAGACAGACAGCUCUAUUCCUUAUCCCAGUUUAGUCCUGAGAGACAGACAGCUCUAUUCCUUAUCCCAGUUUAGUCCUGAGAGACAGACAGCUCUAUUCCUUAUCCCAGUUUAGUCCUGAGAGACAGACAGCUCUAUUCCUUAUCCCAGUUUAGUCCUGAGAGACAGAAGUCUACAACGUUCACAACUGAACGAUUAAACUUCAACAAUACUUUUAAACAUUCCUUUUCGUUUGCUUUUCACUCUGUUGCAACAUUGUAAUCAGUCUGUUCUGUCAGGUAGCAGAGACUACAUUAAUGUGUAGUUCUUUGGGUGGCCUACUGGGACCCGGCUGGUAACCUGACUGCUAGGUUUAUGUUAUUAAUAACAGCAAGGCUGGCAACCUGACUGCUAGGUUUAUGUUAUUAAUAACAGUAGAAGUAACAAUGUUAACCUGACUGCUAGGUUUAUGUUAUUAAUAACAGCAAGGCUAGUAACCUGACUGCUAGGUUUAUGUUAUUAAUAACAGUAGAAGUAACAAUGUUAACCUGACUCCAGCUGAUUUCAAUGGACCACCACUCUGUCAGACUGACUCUAAAGUAGGUCUACUUUGAAAGGCAGCUUUGGUCGGCCAUUAUUCCUCAUGUUUGGCUCUAUGUCUCAAUGUGCUGAUCAUUAAGUCCUGGUGGUUCCUAGGCUGUAUGGAGAUGACUGGUAUCAGUUAUUUAUCUGUUUCCUGUUUUACCAAGGCUGCUGUUAGGGGGAGCAGGAAGGAACCAGUUAUUUAUCUGUUUCCUGUUUUACCAAGGCUGCUGUUAGGGGGAGCAGGAAGGAACCAGUUAUUUAUCUGUUUCCUGUUUUACCAAGGCUGCUGUUAGGGGGAGCAGGUAGGAACCAGUUAUUUAUCUGUUUCCUGUUUUACCAAGGCUGCUGUUAGGGGGAGCAGGAAGGAACCAGUUAUUUAUCUGUUUCCUGUUUUACCAAGGCUGCUGUUAGGGGGAGCAGGAAGGAACCAGUUAUUUAUCUGUUUCCUGUUUUACCAAGGCUGCUGUCAGGGGGAGCAGGGAGGAAUCAGUUAUUUAUCUGUUUCCUGUUUUACCAAGGCUGCUGUUAGGGGGAGCAGGAAGGAACCAGUUAUUUAUCUGUUUCCUGUUUUACCAAGGCUGCUGUUAGGGGGAGCAGGAAGGAACCAGUUAUUUAUCUGUUUCCUGUUUUACCAAGGCUGCUGUUAGGGGGAGCAGGAAGGAACCAGUUAUUAUCUGUUUCCUGUUUUACCAAGGCUGCUGUUAGGGGGAGCAGGAAGGAACCAGUUAUUUAUCUGUUUCCUGUUUUACCAAGGCUGCUGUCAGGGGGAGCAGGGAGGAAUCAGUUAUUUAUCUGUUUCCUGUUUUACCAAGGCUGCUGUUAGGGGGAGCAGGAAGGGAUCAGUUAUUUAUCUGUUUCCUGUUUUACCAAGGCUGCUGUUAGGGGGAGUAGGCAGGAACCAGUUAUUUAUCUGUUUCCUGUUUUACCAAGGCUGCUGUUAGGGGGAGCAUGAAAUAACCACUUAUUUAUCUGUUUCCUGUUUUACCAAGGCUGCUGUUAGGGGGAGCAGGAAGGAACCAGUUAUUUAUCUGUUUCCUGUUUUACCAAGGCUGCUGUUAGGGGGAGCAGGAAAGAACCAGUUAUUUAUCUGUUUCCUGUUUUACCAAGGCUGCUGUUAGGGGGAGCAGGGAGGAACCAGUUAUUUAUCUGUUUCCUGUUUUACCAAGGCUGCUGUUAGGGGGA
This 5423-nucleotide long non-coding RNA is filed under the name Oncorhynchus mykiss (rainbow trout). Its description in RNAcentral is "lncRNA (ENSOMYG00000050547.1)". Lineage: Eukaryota; Metazoa; Chordata; Actinopteri; Salmoniformes; Salmonidae. The record is from RNAcentral.